CCUACGGGAGGCUGCAGUGAGGAAUAUUGGUCAAUGGCCGGAAGGCUGAACCAGCCAAGCCGCGUGAAGGACGACUGUCCCAUGCAUUGUAAACUUCUUUUGUCAGGGAACAAAAUGAGCCACGAGUGCCUGUCCGUGGGUACCUUAAGAAAAAGCAUCGGCUAACUCCGUGCCAGCAGCCGCGGUAAUACGGAGGAUGCGAGCGUUAUCCGGAUUUAUUGGGGUUAAAGGGUGCGUAGGCGGACUGUUAAGUCAGGCGGGAAAGUCCGGGGCCCAACCCUCGCGCUGCAGUUGAAACUGGGUGCCUUGAGUGGGCGAGAGUUAGGCGGAAUGCGUGGUGUAGCGGUGAAAUGCAUAGAUAUCACGAAGAACGCCGAUUGCGAAGGCAGCAUACCGGCGCCCAACUGACGCUGAGGCACGAAAGUGUGGGUAUCGAACAGGAUUAGAUACCCUAGUAGUC
This 460-nucleotide ribosomal RNA is filed under the name uncultured bacterium. RNAcentral's name for it is "partial 16S ribosomal RNA". It matches the Rfam family "Bacterial small subunit ribosomal RNA", at positions 338 to 795 of the family's 1533-position model. The record is from RNAcentral.